UCCGUAGGUGAACCUGCGGAAGGAUCAUUCGAAGUCUCCAAAAGUUCUUUUUUACCUUUUGGUGUUAUUCGGUUCAAAUCGAGCUCUUUAUGUAUUAAAAAAGCCCUUGAUGAUCUCUCUUUAUAUACUUAUAUAGGGGGAGGUUUGAAGGGGCCUCUUUGAGGAAAGGGGCGGGGGGAGGUCUUCCUCUCUCUCUCUCUUUCCUUGAACUGAUCACCCUUUUUUAUAUCAUAUAUACUAUUAUUCUUUUUUCUUAUAACCUUGAAGGAGAUGAAGCGGGGGUAUAUACUCCCACUUCCUCUUCUUUACUUAAACCGAAAUCACUGUUAACAACGGAUCACUCGGUUCCCACGUCGAUGAAGAGCGUAGCGAAUUGCGAAAAGUAAUGCGAUCUGCACCCAUCGUGAAUCAUCGAAUUCUUGAACGCACACUGCACCCAAUGGUAUCCCCAUGGGUAUGCCUAAUUGAGUACUUUUUAAACCUCAAGCCCUUAUCUGGUGUGUAUAUAUUUUACGAUAUGUACUCACUGGGUGAGUUUGGUUUGGAUUUGGUUCACUCGCCCUUUCUUUUACGGGAGGGGUGCUGAACUUGAAUGUAUAACGCUGGUACACUUUUCUUUUCUCUUUUGAACAGGAAAGUGUCCUCCAGUCCUUCUUCUACAAUAAUGACUGCCCCAUUAGCCUGGUGUAUUGGUUCUGGCCCCUUCAUUCUCCCUUAUACAUUUGUGUAAGUGUGUGUGUGUUGGAGUCAAGAUAUUUUCACAUUAGUCUAACGGUGUGUAGCCCGUAGUAGAAUGUGUCUGGGUGGCUUGAUCCAGUUGCUCGUCCUACCCUUUCCCCUACUCUCUUUCUCUUUAAGCGUGUAGAAAAGGGCCAUCUUUCUUAACGUCUCAGUUAGGUAAGGGUACCCGCUGAACUUAAGCAUAUCAAUAAGCGGAGGA
RNAcentral lists this ribosomal RNA (940 nucleotides) under Piptocephalis sp. FD1. Its description in RNAcentral is "eukaryotic LSU rRNA". The stretch from base 322 to 474 matches the Rfam family "5.8S ribosomal RNA". The record is from RNAcentral. Lineage: Eukaryota; Fungi; Zoopagomycota; Zoopagomycetes; Zoopagales; Piptocephalidaceae.